GCCGGAGACAUAUGUCAGUGGCUUUCCUGCUGGCGGUCGAUCGAUAAUUAACCCCAUAUAUCGAUCGUCAGUCUCGAUGAUGAGAUGAGAUAGCUAGCCCAGCUCAGCUGCAACACCUACGUGCAUGCAAGGUCCAGACCGCCUGCUUGGCCUGGUCGGCCGGCUUCCCCUCAGCACCAUCUCUGACAGCGCCUCAAAAGCCGGCGCCAGAUCCAAUUUCCGUGUCAGAAAUGUGGACACACAGCACUAUGUCUCUGCUGCCCCGGCCAAUGACUGUCCACUACUGCACCAGCGCCUUAAUAUAAGGACCCAAUGCAAGUGCAUGUGUUUCAUAUGAUCAAAUAGCUAAGUUAAUUAGUUAUAAGUAUCUCUGCAGUACGUACAGCAAGUAGUUCCAGUAGUUGUUUUUGUUUUUUUGCGUUUUCUUUUACUUAUGUUGGGGUUUUAUUCAGUACGUCGCUGACCUAAUUAUGAUGCUACCAUGUCGUGUGUUUGAUGAUGACCCACCAGUGCUGCAUGCAACUAGUUAAUUAGUAUAUUUGGAUUUAGUCUGAUUAGCAUCUCUCUGAUGCUUACUUUCGUUUUGUCGGCUUGUCCCUAGCUUUCUCUUUUUUCACGCGCAAAUUACGCUUGCCUUUGAUGCUUGUCAUUACCUACAUCUCGCUCUUCUGUGAAUAUAUAUACACACGCGCGCGCCAAUGUCUACACUAACAGUAUAUAGGCAGCUCGAGGUUAGUGAACUGAACUGUGUUAGACACCAAAACCCUACA
RNAcentral lists this long non-coding RNA (770 nucleotides) under Brachypodium distachyon (stiff brome). Its description in RNAcentral is "long non-coding RNA (BDIS_LNC000546)". Lineage: Eukaryota; Viridiplantae; Streptophyta; Magnoliopsida; Poales; Poaceae. The record is from RNAcentral.